Molecule: ribosomal RNA, 346 nt
Filed under: uncultured fungus
Lineage: Eukaryota; Fungi
Description: eukaryotic LSU rRNA
Rfam family: 5.8S ribosomal RNA (bases 1-141)
Source: RNAcentral
GGAUCUCUUGGUUCUGGCAUCGAUGAAGAACGCAGCGAAAUGCGAUAAGUAAUGUGAAUUGCAGAAUUCAGUGAAUCAUCGAAUCUUUGAACGCACAUUGCGCCCCCUGGUAUUCCGGGGGGCAUGCCUGUUCGAGCGUCAUUUAAACCCUCAAGCUCUGCUUGGUAUUGGGUGCAGGCCUACCCAGGCCCGCCCGCAACCCGUCGGCGGUAUGUACCGGCUCCCAGCGUAGCAAAACACGUCGCUUCGGAGCCUGGUGGGUACCUGCCAGAAACUCAACCCCAAAGUUUGACCUCGGAUCAGGUAGGGAUACCCGCUGAACUUAAGCAUAUCAAUAAGCGGAGGA